UUUUUGUAAGGCAAUAAUUAGCAACUCAGUGAAGAGGGUGUAGUUAGCCUUGCUGAGACCGGGUUAGAUGUGUAGUUUUUGUUAUACGGGAUACUGUAUAAUAGAGGCUUCCUGUUGAUAGCGAUUGAUACGGGAUAGAGACAGAUGUCUUAAAUGCAAGAUUCGGGUGCCGAUCUAUACGAGCAAAUAGUAAAUCCAACGAGUCGGAGCGACAAUCGCAUAAGUUCACGUGAAAGCGGGGACUGACGCGGCUCUUUCGCGCCACAUAGGGAUAUGUGGGGAACGCUAAGAGAAUUCCAAAACAAGCUCUUGCCGAUGACCCGGAGAAAUCCGGCUAUAAGACAAAACAGGAUUGUGCGAGUAACAUAGGGGCUAAAUUUGAUUUUUCGAGAGUUGUCGAAUUACAAGUUUGAAAAAUUCUGAAUAACGUGUGAAAGUUGGGGGUAUCAUUCCCCUCAGAACGUAGGGCGAAAGCCGAGGUGUACAGGUUAUGACGACGGUCAGAAGCUUCAGGUACAUCCCCUCUGUGACUGAACAUUGCGUAGUAUAGGUUUAGGUAGGGUGAAGAUCCGCUAAUUAUUGUAUUUUUAU
RNAcentral lists this non-coding RNA (591 nucleotides) under unclassified sequences. RNAcentral describes it as "ROOL RNA". It matches the Rfam family "ROOL RNA". From Rfam's summary of the family: Firmicutes, Fusobacteria (1 example), Tenericutes (1 example). The record is from Rfam by way of RNAcentral.